CCAUAGCUCAAUUGGACAGAGCGUUUGACUACGGAUCAAAAGGUUGCGGGUUCGACUCCUACUGGG
This 66-nucleotide transfer RNA is filed under the name Faecalibaculum rodentium. It matches the Rfam family "tRNA", at positions 5 to 66 of the family's 71-position model. From Rfam's summary of the family: Transfer RNA (tRNA) molecules are approximately 80 nucleotides in length. Their secondary structure includes four short double-helical elements and three loops (D, anti-codon, and T loops). Lineage: Bacteria; Bacillati; Bacillota; Erysipelotrichia; Erysipelotrichales; Erysipelotrichaceae. RNAcentral also lists the same sequence under 3 other names. The record is from RNAcentral.